AUAAAAGCAAUGAUAAAGAGGAGUAGAAAUUUAUAAGCAUUAUAAGAGAGAGGGAAGAGCUGAAAACCCUUAUGUGGAGAAUUUUGAAGGUAGCUUUUGAGCUUCUUUAGUGAAUGUAAGUAGCUAAAGACGGUUAUCUAAAUCGUUAUUUGAAUUAAGAGUCCAUUAGAACAUAUUUAUUUUAUAUGUUUACGUGGAAAUAAAGGUGGUAACGCGAGUCUUCGUCCUUUUU
RNAcentral lists this non-coding RNA (232 nucleotides) under Clostridium butyricum. RNAcentral describes it as "T-box sequence". It matches the Rfam family "T-box leader". Rfam says of the family: Uncharged tRNA acts as the effector for transcription antitermination of genes in the T-box leader family. T-boxes are found upstream of many aminoacyl-tRNA synthetase genes and some amino acid biosynthetic genes usually in Gram-positive bacteria. Lineage: Bacteria; Bacillati; Bacillota; Clostridia; Eubacteriales; Clostridiaceae. The record is from RNAcentral.